GGAGUUUUAUGGUUUUUAAAUGAGUGUAAAUAUCAUUCUAGUGCACCUUGUUUUGAAUAGUUCGUAUUUUGAGUGAUUGGUAUACCCUAUUUUAAAUUAUAUGUAUUGAUUUAAGGAAAUUGAUUAUUGAUCGAGUGGUUUUAGUCCGUAUUUCAAAGGAAACUCUGUCAAAAUUCUUUUAAAAAUUCAUCACAGUCAAAGCAGGUCAAGGUUGCUUUGAUAAUGGGUUCGACACUUAGCUGAUAUCUACCAUUGGUGCACGACAUAUGUCGGGUCCAUUAGGGUGAUUCAGAAUGGGUCAUGUCAACCCACCACAAUCUUGAUCUCUUUUGUAUUUGAUGUUCUUUUCCAGGUGCUAUCAAGUAGUUUAUCAUGAUUCUAACAAUAUCAAAAUAACAAAACUUUUGUAAUGAUUAAACUCAACAUGGACGAUGAAGAUAUGCUUGGAGGAGAUCCGAAUUUUGAAAUUUAUUACGCAAUGCUUUGUACUAGGUAUUUCUUGUAUUCAUGCACUAAUUCUCUUAUGUAGAAACUUCUCUAGUUUAUGUUUCAACAAUAUUUAAGAUAUUGAAAACAAGAACAUUACAAAUCUGAUGAGGGUUACAUGCUUGUACGAGAUUAUGUGCAUACCUAUUGGGAUGAGUACAUCAUGCUUGAGGAGAUGGUUAUCCACUAUUGAACGAGAUGGUACUUGCAAAAUAUUAUAAUAAACUUGUCAAGUUGAAUAAAGGUCAAGUGUUUGUAAAAGAUGCCAGAUGUUGAGAUGGAUUUAAAAGUUAUGGAUAUAUUCCACUUGCAAAAGUUGAGAGGAAUGAUUAGUCAUUGUCCAUGGAUUUGUAUUAUGGAUCGACCAUUCAAGUUGACAAGAUAUCAACUAUUGAAGAUGAGCGUAAAGAGCAUGCCUAAAAAGAACCAAACAAAGAAGUGCG
This 929-nucleotide long non-coding RNA is filed under the name Olea europaea subsp. europaea. Lineage: Eukaryota; Viridiplantae; Streptophyta; Magnoliopsida; Lamiales; Oleaceae. The record is from RNAcentral.